RNAcentral lists this ribosomal RNA (253 nucleotides) under uncultured bacterium. RNAcentral describes it as "partial 16S ribosomal RNA". It matches the Rfam family "Bacterial small subunit ribosomal RNA", at positions 524 to 776 of the family's 1533-position model. The record is from RNAcentral.
UACGUAGGGUGCGAGCGUUAAUCGGAAUUACUGGGCGUAAAGGGUGCGCAGGCGGUUAUAUAAGACAGAUGUGAAAUCCCCGGGCUCAACUUGGGAACUGGCGUUUGUGACUGUAUGACUAGAGUACGGUAGAGAGGGGUGGAAUUCCUGGUGUAGCAGUGAAAUGCGUAGAUAUCAGGAGGAACAUCGAUGGCGAAGGCAGCCCCUUGGACCUGUACUGACGCUCAUGCACGAAAGCGUGGGAGCAAACAGG